UGCCCAUGAGAUCGGGAUAACACCUGGAAACAGAUGCUAAUACCGGAUAACAACAGAUGAUGCCUAUCAACUGUUUAAAAGAUGGUUCUGCUAUCACUCUUGGAUGGACCUGCGGUGCAUUAGCUAGUUGGUAGGGUAACGGCCUACCAAGGCGAUGAUGCAUAGCCGAGUUGAGAGACUGAUCGGCCACAUUGGGACUGAGACACGGCCCAAACUCCUACGGGAGGCAGCAGAA
Molecule: ribosomal RNA, 235 nt
Filed under: uncultured Lactobacillus sp.
Lineage: Bacteria; Bacillati; Bacillota; Bacilli; Lactobacillales; Lactobacillaceae
Description: partial 16S ribosomal RNA
Rfam family: Bacterial small subunit ribosomal RNA
Source: RNAcentral